Molecule: non-coding RNA, 73 nt
Organism: Trichonephila clavata
Lineage: Eukaryota; Metazoa; Arthropoda; Arachnida; Araneae; Nephilidae
Source: the annotation of a GenBank genome assembly
GCCUCUGUAGCGCAAUGGAUAGCGCUUUGGACUUUUAAUCCGAAGGUUGUGGGUUCGAGUCCCAUUUGAGACC